Molecule: transfer RNA, 72 nt
Organism: Sistotremastrum niveocremeum HHB9708
Lineage: Eukaryota; Fungi; Basidiomycota; Agaricomycetes; Sistotremastrales; Sistotremastraceae
Rfam family: tRNA
About the family: Transfer RNA (tRNA) molecules are approximately 80 nucleotides in length. Their secondary structure includes four short double-helical elements and three loops (D, anti-codon, and T loops).
Source: Rfam
UUCCGGCUAGUAUAUCGGAUAGUACACACGCCUGUCACGCGUGAAAGCGGGGUUCGACUCCCCGGCCGGAAG